This 550-nucleotide ribosomal RNA is filed under the name fungal sp. GZ-2010a. RNAcentral describes it as "eukaryotic LSU rRNA". The stretch from base 228 to 381 matches the Rfam family "5.8S ribosomal RNA". The record is from RNAcentral. Lineage: Eukaryota; Fungi.
UGGAAGUAAAAGUCGUAACAAGGUCUCCGUUGGUGAACCAGCGGAGGGAUCAUUACUGAGUUUACGCUCUACAACCCUUUGUGAACAUACCUAUAACUGUUGCUUCGGCGGGUAGGGUCUCCGUGACCCUCCCGGCCUCCCGCCCCCGGGCGGGUCGGCGCCCGCCGGAGGAUAACCAAACUCUGAUUUAACGACGUUUCUUCUGAGUGGUACAAGCAAAUAAUCAAAACUUUUAACAACGGAUCUCUUGGUUCUGGCAUCGAUGAAGAACGCAGCGAAAUGCGAUAAGUAAUGUGAAUUGCAGAAUUCAGUGAAUCAUCGAAUCUUUGAACGCACAUUGCGCCCGCCAGCAUUCUGGCGGGCAUGCCUGUUCGAGCGUCAUUUCAACCCUCAAGCUCUGCUUGGUGUUGGGGCCCUACAGCUGAUGUAGGCCCUCAAAGGUAGUGGCGGACCCUCCCGGAGCCUCCUUUGCGUAGUAACUUUACGUCUCGCACUGGGAUCCGGAGGGACUCUUGCCGUAAAACCCCCAAUUUUCCAAAGGUUGACCUCG